Non-coding RNA from Equus caballus (horse), 5660 nucleotides. Lineage: Eukaryota; Metazoa; Chordata; Mammalia; Perissodactyla; Equidae. The record is from RefSeq and is a predicted model, not a curated record.
GCCGCGCCCCGUGAUUGGCUGCGCUGCCCCACGUGACUCUGGUUGGCGGCGGCGGUUGCCGAGGCGACGGCUGGAGCGGUGGCGGCCGAGCAGCAGAGCUUUUUGCUGUGAGAAUUAACAGUAACAGUUCAAUAUGGAGGAUAUUCUGGCUCACGAAUCAGAGUUACUUGGACUAGUGAAAGAGUAUUUAGAUUUUGCUGAAUUUGAAGACACCUUGAAAACAUUUUCAAAAGAAUGCAAAAUAAAAGGAAAACCAUUAUCUAAAACAGCAGGUGGCUCUUUAAGGGACUCCAAAUCAUUGAUAAUCCAGAGGGACCUCGUUGCUGCGUUUGACAGCGGAGACCAGAAGGUGUUCUUCGAUUUGUGGGAAGAGCACAUUCCCAGUUCCAUCCGAGCUGGUGACUCCCUCGCCCAGAAGUUGGAAUUCUAUCUUCACAUCCAUUUUGCCAUCUAUCUUCUGAAACACUCCAUGGGGAGACCUGACAAAGAAGAACUGGAUGAAAGGAUUUCUUAUUUCAAAACCUACCUGGAAACCAAAGGGGCAGCCCUGAGCCAGACCACAGAGUUUCUCCCUUUCUAUGCCCUGCCUUUUGUUCCCAACCCUAUGGUCCACCCCUCAUUUAAAGAACUCUUCCAGGAUUCUUGGACUCCAGAAUUGAAGUUGAAGUUGGAAAAGUUUCUGGCUUUAAUUUUUAAAGCGAGUAACACGCCAAAGCUUUUAACGUUGUAUAAGGAGAAUGGACAAAGUAACAAAGAAAUGUUGCAGCAGCUCCACCAGCAGCUGGUAGAAGCUGAGCGAAGGUCAAUGACAUACCUGAAACGGUACAAUAAGAUCCAGGCGGACUACCACAAUCUCAUUGGAGUCACAGCAGAGCUGGUGGAUUCUCUGGAGGCCACAGUCAGUGGCAAGAUGAUCACCCCGGAGUACCUGCAGAGCGUCUGCGUCCGCCUCUUCAGCAACCAGAUGCGGCAGAGCCUGGCACACAGCGUGGACUUCACGAGGCCCGGGACGGCUUCAACCAUGUUAAGAGCCUCCUUGGCACCCGCGAAAUUGAAGGAUGUCCCAUUACUGCCCUCCUUGGAUUAUGAAAAACUGAAGAAGGAUUUGACUUUGGGGAGUGACCGCUUGAAAGCCUUCUUGUUGCAGGCUCUGCGCUGGCGCUUGACCACGUCCCAUCCUGGAGAGCAGAGGGAGACUGUCCUGCAGGCGUACAUCAGCAACGACCUCUUGGACUGUCAUAGCCACAGCCAGAGGGGCGUGCUGCAGCUGCUGCACUCCAGGAGUGAGGUGGUGCGGCAGUACAUGGCCAGGCUCAUCAACGCCUUUGCCUCCCUGGCAGAAGGUCGCCUCUACCUAGCCCAGAGCACAAAGGUGCUGCGGAUGCUGGAGGAGAGGCUGAAGGAGGAAGACAAGGACAUCAUCACCCGGGAGAAUGUUCUUGGGGCCUUGCAGAAGUUCAGCCUCAGGCGCCCGCUGCAGACAGCGAUGAUUCGAGAUGGCCUCAUCUUCUGGCUCAUUGAUAUUCUGAAGGACCCCGACUGCCUGUCUGACUACACGCUGGAGUAUUCGGUGGCUCUGCUCAUGAACCUCUGCCUCCGGAGCGCAGGGAAGAACAUGUGUGCCAAGGUGGCAGGCCUCGUGCUGAAAGUUCUUUCAGAUCUGCUCGGCCACGAAAACCACGAGAUACAGCCGUAUGUGAAUGGAGCUUUGUACAGCAUUCUUUCUAUUCCAUCCAUUCGUGAGGAAGCAAGAGCAAUGGGAAUGGAAGACAUCCUUCGCUGCUUCAUCAAAGAAGGCAAUGCUGAAAUGAUCCGCCAGAUUGAAUUUAUCAUCAAGCAGCUAAAUUCAGAAGAGCUGCUGGAUGGUGUUCUUGAAUCUGAUGAUGAUGAAGAUGAAGACGAUGAAGAGGACCAUGACACUAUGGAAGCUGAUCUGGACAAAGACGAGCUGAUCCAGCCCCAGCUUGGAGAACUCUCAGGCGAGAAGCUUCUGACCACGGAGUACUUGGGACCUGGAAGACCAUCCCAUUUCUCCCCAGAUGGCCCGGCACACCAGAAACGGCUGCCUUCCAUCCCUGCUGGACGCCUACCUCCCAGUCGACGAGGGGGCCGCUGUGGACGCCAAGCCAGGAGCGUGGUUGCCAGCAGGACGUCACGGAGAGCCUCGCCUGCCCGCCUCGGGGGCCCCCAGCCAGCCAAGGGAGGUGCCCCGGGCCCUGGGCAGUGGAGAGACCACCAGGAUCUAGGGGUCGGAGAAACCAGCCGGAUGGCGCUGCCCUACUGCCCUUCCUGCAGGCUCCCCCUGAUGGAAACCCCACAGAAACAGGAAUUCCUGCCGAGUCUAGAGGACACAGGAACACCUGGAGCUGCCACAGCCACUGAGAACAGGCAGAAGGCCUGGCAGACCCGGCCCCCCCUGGAGGGAGAAAGUCGGAGAUAAGGGGGAGGGGAGACAGGAGGGGGAAGAGUGCUGAAGCCCAUUCCCCUUAGCAGCGGGCAGCACCCCUGCAUCUUCCUUUGCCACCACUGCUGUUGGCAGAGCCUGGAGCUGGGCAUGGGGUCAAGGGCGGGGUCAGAGCUACCUGGGGCCGCAGCGCUGUGUGCGGUUGAGCCAGCAGCACUUUGGGACCUGGCCUGGGACCUGGCAAAUCUCUACCCGGCAGAGGGUAUAAAAGAUGGCUGGGUGAGCCAGAGGCUGGGGCGGGCUGGGGUGGGGAGCCCGGGGGCCCAGAAUCUGGUCUCCUUCAGCCCAACCCCCGACCAGCUGUGGACCUGGGGACGGGCCUCCCCUGCCUGGGCCUCCUCCGCCCUCAGAGUGGCUGAAGGUGAGCUCUGGCAGUGGAAAUGCCCGAGGCCCACAGGCAGUCAGCCGGCUCAGGGGUUCUCCAGCUCUCGGCACCCUCCUGAAGUGGGGGCUCAAAACGAGUGGGUGGGCCAGAGCCUAGGCUGGGCCCUGCUGCCCUGGCCUCAUCGCUCCCAGGACAGGACCAGGAUCUAGUCCUUUGGCGCAGCCAGGCCACACCUGCCCUUCUGGUGCUCGAGCCACUUCUUUUUCCUUCCUGUCAAUGCCCAAUUCAUUUCUGAGGCUCACCCUGGGGAUGGUCCUCUCUCCCCAGAAAUAACUGUUUUCAGAGUAGGCAGGGCACCCCAAAAGCUCUCUUCUUAGAAACAUUUCCAUUUGUUACCCCAAAUGGGGUUACCCACUUGGCCUCCAAACUUCUGUUGGGCACAAAUGCCCCCUCGGGGUUAAACCCAUGGGUGCUCUCGCCCUAAUGUCGAUCACUUGAACUCAACUCUUAUUUUAAGUCCGGGGCUCUGUGUGAGGAAGAGGAGGAUGGGAAGGGGGAGCGUGCGGUGGCCCCAUUCCCCUUCUUACCCCACUGGCUGGCUGACCCCUGCCUGGAAUAUUCUUUUCCCACCUUAGCCUUCUCUUAACCAGGCUGCUCCCGGUCUCAGCUAAGUACCCCUUCCUCCCGCCUGAGCCCAAAGUCCAGUCACACAGCCGCGUCCCCACGCACGGGGGCCCAGAGCCCACUGUGUGGUCAUGAGGUCCGGGACUCUCCCGCUGUCCUCAAAGACAGGGGCCAUGUGAAGGGUGUUUGUCCCUGCGUUCCCACACCUGGCCCAGAGCAGCCUCUCCAGAUGUUUAUGAGGAGGAGAAAGGGAGAGGCAUGGCCUGCAUGCGGGCCGUUUGUCCCUCAGCUUCCCCCAGCUCCUCUCUCAGUCUUUAGGGUGAAGACAGACAGUCGGCCAGGUGGGUGCUGCUUGACCGCUCACAGCCCGUGGAAGGCCCCUGGAGCUGAGAGUUGACACAAACGGUAGCUUGAACGAUAGCGUUCCUUCUUAGCCCCAACUUGGAGGGGGUUGAAAGCUCAUUGCAGCUCUGGCUCACGCCGGUGCUUCCAGCCACUGGUCGUGCUGUGAAAUUGCCUCCCCAGAAGCCAAGGAGCAACAGGUUCAGCGCCUGUGACCCCCCCCACCCCCCACCCCCCAGGGCCAAGCUUUGCUUUUUUCUAUCUGCUUCUUAGACUCCUUAGCACUAAAUAGCAGAGAAACAACGCUAGUAACCAGGCUUUAAAAAUGCCAUUUGUUUAAAAAAAAAGAAAAAAGUAUUUAUCCCGGGAAGAGCCGGGGUGUUCUGCCGUGAAUCCGUCGGUCCGGACCGCGAGGGCUGACUUGCACCCCGGAACGUGCAGGCCUUGGUUUCCAGCUGUCACCUCCCGGAGGGUGGUGGGUCUCACUGCCCAGACUGUCACGUGGCCUUGCCUGCCUGCCGUCUGUGGGCACUGGCGCGUGGUCCACGCGGAGAUGAGUCCAGGUGGACCGGGAGGGAGCUUGCUCACGUUCCCUCCGUGUGGCCCCAGGGACAGGCGAGGAAAUGGGCUCCUGGGGUUGGAGCUGUCACUCUGGCACAGACGCCGACCUGGUCCCGGGCUGGGAUUAGAAGCAAACAUUGUCAAAGUUCCUGUCCUGCCACAGACAGGAAAUGACUCUUUUGCGAGUAUUGUGACUUUCAAACAAUAAGGAAGAAAGAGAUUUUACAGAUGUCUGCACAUGCGCUUUCUCCCCUUCACAUUUGUCCCAAAAAGACACCACGUGGCAGCUCACGACGACAGAUACGGCGCAUCAGCUAAAAGAAACGACAAACUAACAGCAAGGAAGCUGGGGAAAUUAGGACGGCAUAGCUGUGUGGUUACACCCGCGUGUGCGCACGAACACACACAUGUGUGAACUGUUGAUGAGGUCUCCAUGCCUGCCUUCAUCUGGUGUGUGGUCUCCCCGGUCCCAGCCUGUCUGGGUUUUGUUGUAGCCCAGACACACUGUCCGCAGCAAUGACCGAGAGCCAGUUGGGAAUGUGACGAGCAGAGUCCACUUAGGGGACCCCUGAGCACUUUCACUUGCACGGUAAUGCUCACGAUGGCUCCCAGGACCUGAGAGGACACAGGAGAAGGUGGAGAAGGCUCCACUGCGGGAUUAUGACUCAGCAGCAUUCCAAACGCAAGUCGAGAUUAAAUAUCUCCAAAAGCCUUUUAUUGCUGUUCGCUUCCCACACAAUGUUCCUAUUGAUGAGCGGAGAUAAUAUAAGCAGGCCGGGCCUCUCAGAUCAAAAAUGGCCUAUCUCGCAGGGCCCCUCCUGCAGUUUACGCAUAUGCUGAAGUUUGCUAUCUGCCUGGACCGUCACCAUGUGUUCCUGCAGCAAUACUUUUUUCUGAGUCAAAGGUGACCGCCAUCCUGAACUUCCCGUCGGUGUCUUUUACUCCUCUGCCCCAGUCUUGCCUCUUCUCCUGCCAGAGCAUCCCCAUUUCCCAGCUCUGGUUCCUGGCUGCCCAUGCUGCUGAGCUCGCCAUUCUGGGGAAAUGGCGGCCCUGAGGCCACUCAGGGGCCAAGCUGACCCUUACUGACAGCCGUCCAGCCUGCCUCCCAUGUUGUCCUUCCCAGAAGGUCCUGAUGUCGUCAUCCCUGUGGAGUUCAAGGACGGUGACCAGCAUCCUCAGUCAACACAGCCGCCUCCUGCAGCAGCCCCCAAGGCAGUUUGGAGAACUUCCUGGGGGGAAUUUACAUCAGCCGUCACCUGCAAGCCCCGGACGCCCUGCACCCCAGAGAUCCUGGACCUGACCCCACCCAAGGCCAAGGCGUCGGCUCUGGCCCCUCAGUUCUCC